AAAAGAACUCUGAAUAGAGAGUUAAAUAGUACGUGAAACUGCUUAGAGGUUAAACCCGAUGAACCUGAAUAUCCAAUAUAGAGAAUUCAUCAUUAAAAUAGUAAUUUUUAUUAUUAUUAUGGUGUGCAUUUUCUCUAUAUAAAUGGACAUUGUAAUCUAUUAAUAUUAUAUAAUUUAUCAUAAGAUCGAUAGUAUAUGUUUAUUUUAAUUAAUUUACUUCGGUUUAUUAAUAUUAAAUAAUUUCUAUUGAUUUGAUAAAGUAUUAAUAGAUUUAAUCAUAUGUAUAAUGCAAAAAUUUCAUUAGAAAUUUUAUAAUAAUUUUAUUAUUAUAAGCAUUUAUACGAUUUACAAUGCGAAAGAUUCAGGAUACCUUCGGGAC
This 379-nucleotide ribosomal RNA is filed under the name Phytomyza sp. RNAcentral describes it as "partial large subunit ribosomal RNA". Lineage: Eukaryota; Metazoa; Arthropoda; Insecta; Diptera; Agromyzidae. The record is from RNAcentral.